UUUUAUAAUGCACAUAUUACAUGUUGCGUUUUAAUUAGAAAGUUAUAGGUUAAUGUUUUAACAUUCUCAUCAUGUAGUAUUUUUUUAUAAUAAAAAUAAAAAAUGCCAAAAAUUAGCAUUGCAUCAUUAUGUCACCUUUUUUAAUGAAAAUUACUAGGUCAUUUCAAAUAAAAAAAGAAAACACAAAAGUCUUUUACCCGGUUAAUUAACAGGUUAGUUCAUAAUUAAUCCAAUGUCAUGUCAUCAUUGUUUAAUAU
RNAcentral lists this long non-coding RNA (257 nucleotides) under Eucalyptus grandis. Its description in RNAcentral is "long non-coding RNA (EGRA_LNC002119)". The record is from RNAcentral. Lineage: Eukaryota; Viridiplantae; Streptophyta; Magnoliopsida; Myrtales; Myrtaceae.